GAUCAAGCCAAUUUUCCGUCACAUCUAGUGAGCAAGCACACUGCGCACCCAUAUGAGCCGUAAGAUUAAGUUCCCUACUAACAUGCCGACCCGAGAAAGAAACAAAACUAGGUAUAAUGGCUUCCAAUUCUAUUAAGAUAGGCGCCGCAAUUGAUCUUGUGGUGGUGCGCGAAUUCCAGAGGUCGAUCAACUCCAAGCAAUCAACGUGAAUUAUCACAUGUGAGUAUCCCUGGAGCUGAGCAAAAAUCACUCCCUCUCGUAAAGCAAGCAGCUCGGAAACAAAAGGAUCUGAGACUCCCUCGAGUGGCUUGCACCAGGCUUCGAAGAACGCAAGGUGCGAGCGAGCUACUCCUCCUGCUCCUGCUAAAAGAGCAUCUGAAAACACUGAGCCAUCGUUGUUGAUAGUGAUCCAUCCCGGCUCCGGUAGCCGCAAAUGUUGUUGUGAAGUAGAGUUAUUUGAUGGCCAUAACCGGGUUAUACCCGUCCUUGUCAUGAAUCCAUCUAUUUCGUGACAAUCAAAUGACAUGCAUGAUGGUUAUGAUCUUGCAUCUGGCAUCCAAGGAGAAUUGCUAAUCCAGCAAAAUGUUGCAUGCCCAAGUUUAUGGCCGGAGCCUAGGCAGAACGUGUCUUUGGCGGCAAUCCAAAAAUUCUUAGCAUGGGUACAAAAGAUGAGCGCAUGCAUUAGAGUCUCAUCCAUCGCCUGGCAAAUGUCUCGCCGCCCGAGCGGUUUAAUAUGUCGGUACUUCAGGGUCAUCGAGUCUGAUAGAAACCACGAAGAACUCUCCACCAAAACACUCGAACCUUAGGUACAACACAUGUAAUUUCCAAAAUGCAAUCCAUAAUUGUUUGUUUGAAGAUGAAGUAUCCGUGAUCGUCCCUUCCUCUAGUGUACUAAGCUCGUUUUGAGUCAUUAGAGCACUAUAAGUUGAUUUAACAGUACACUGACCUGACUUUUCAAAAGCCCGUGCCAAAGCGUCUCCCACCCCCCAGCCGGGUUCAAAGGGAUAUUUAAGAUCGUCUCCCCGUCUGAGGGAAGAAAUUGUCGGACCAGAUCCACAUUUCAAUUUCCUAUGUGAUCAUCAAUCAAGUCUGAAACCAUGUCGAACGGGGCGUCACCAAUCCGGCACAUGGGUUUCAUCAUUGCCGUAUUGCGAAUCCACUCAUCUGUCCAAAUCGAGAAGGAGCUCCGGCAUCCGCUCGUUAGGACUCGGGACCGUAACCGGCUGCAGCACUUCCUGGACGCGUUGAUGGCGGCCGCCCGACGGCUCUCCUCUCCCUUGCUUGCUGCCUAGCCUGCCCCCGUGUGGGCCUUUUUGUUUCUUCUUCCUUUCUUGGGCUGGACUGUGUUGUUGCCCCAGCGGACUAUCUUUUUAUUUCUUUGUUCGGACAUGUUACCUGGAUUCUGUUCUGUGUGCUUUAUCUAUAAAGCGGGGCGAAAGCCUGUUUCGAGAGA
Hordeum vulgare subsp. vulgare (domesticated barley) is the source of this 1453-nucleotide long non-coding RNA. RefSeq lists it as uncharacterized. The record is from RefSeq and is a predicted model, not a curated record. The transcript has 2 exons. NCBI's taxonomy places the organism in Eukaryota, Viridiplantae, Streptophyta, Magnoliopsida, Poales, Poaceae.